UACGUAGGGAGCAAGCGUUGUCCGGAAUCAUUGGGCGUAAAGCGCGCGUAGGCGGCCCUGUAAGUCCGUUGUGAAAGUCAAAGGCUCAACCUUUGAAAGCCGAUGGAUACUGCAGGGCUAGAGUCCGGAAGAGGCGAGUGGAAUUCCUGGUGUAGCGGUGGAAUGCGCAGAUAUCAGGAAGAACACCCGUGGCGAAGGCGGCUCUCUGGGACGGUACUGACGCUGAGACGCGAAAGCGUGGGGAGCGAACAGG
Molecule: ribosomal RNA, 253 nt
Filed under: uncultured bacterium
Lineage: Bacteria
Description: partial 16S ribosomal RNA
Rfam family: Bacterial small subunit ribosomal RNA
Source: RNAcentral